RNAcentral lists this ribosomal RNA (596 nucleotides) under uncultured bacterium. Its description in RNAcentral is "bacterial SSU rRNA". It matches the Rfam family "Bacterial small subunit ribosomal RNA", at positions 338 to 945 of the family's 1533-position model. The record is from RNAcentral.
CCUACGGGAGGCAGCAGUGGGGAAUAUUGGGCAAUGGAGGAAACUCUGACCCAGCGACGCCGCGUGCGGGAUGAAGGCCUUCGGGUUGUAAACCGCUUUCAGUAGGGAAGAAGCGAAAGUGACGGUACCUACAAAAGAAGCACCGGCUAACUAUGUGCCAGCAGCCGCGGUAAUACAUAGGGUGCAAGCGUUGUCCGGAAUUAUUGGGCGUAAAGAGCUCGUAGGUCGUUUGUUACGUCGGAUGUGAAAACCUGAGGCUCAACCUCAGGCCUGCAUUCGAUACGGGCAAACUAGAGUUUGGUAGGGGAGACUGGAAUUCCUGGUGUAGCGGUGGAAUGCGCAGAUAUCAGGAGGAACACCAAUGGCGAAGGCAGGUCUCUGGGCCAAUACUGACACUGAGGAGCGAAAGUCUGGGGAGCGAACAGGAUUAGAUACCCUGGUAGUCCAGACCGUAAACGGUGGGCACUAGUUGUGGGAACCUUCCACGGUUUCUGCGACGCAGCUAACGCAUUAAGUGCCCCGCCUGGGGAGUACGAUCGCAAGNUUAAAACUCAAAGANAUGCGNGNGAGAGNGACGACGACGACGACGAGGAGAG